UACGAAGGGGGCUAGCGUUGUUCGGAAUUACUGGGCGUAAAGGGCGCGUAGGCUGUGCUGUAAGUCAGGCGUGAAAUCCCCGGGCUCAACCUGGGAAUUGCGCAUGAUACUGCGGCGCUUGAAGACGGGAGAGGAUGGCGGAAUUCCCAGUGUAGCGGUGAAAUGCGUAGAUAUUGGGAGGAACACCGGUGGCGAAGGCGGCUACCUGGACCGGUACUGACGCUGAGGCGCGAAAGCUAGGGUAGCAAACAGG
Molecule: ribosomal RNA, 253 nt
Filed under: uncultured bacterium
Lineage: Bacteria
Description: partial 16S ribosomal RNA
Rfam family: Bacterial small subunit ribosomal RNA
Source: RNAcentral